GCGUUUGUUGCUUAGUUGGUUAGAGCUCCCACUUGACCUGGGGGGGGAUGAUGGUUUGAGACUAUUCAGAAGUACCA
This 77-nucleotide transfer RNA is filed under the name Klebsiella pneumoniae. RNAcentral describes it as "tRNA-Val". The record is from RNAcentral. Lineage: Bacteria; Pseudomonadati; Pseudomonadota; Gammaproteobacteria; Enterobacterales; Enterobacteriaceae.